Molecule: transfer RNA, 123 nt
Filed under: Anopheles dirus
Lineage: Eukaryota; Metazoa; Arthropoda; Insecta; Diptera; Culicidae
Description: tRNA tRNA-Tyr
Rfam family: tRNA
About the family: Transfer RNA (tRNA) molecules are approximately 80 nucleotides in length. Their secondary structure includes four short double-helical elements and three loops (D, anti-codon, and T loops).
Source: RNAcentral
CCUUCGAUAGCUCAGUUGGUAGAGCGGUGGACUGUAGCGAGCGAGAUAAGCGAGAGAAAGUUCUCUCUCGCGCACACUGUAGUAGUAAUCCAUAGGUCACUGGUUCAAAUCCGGUUCGAAGGA